AGAUAUUUCCUUUCUCUUUUUGAAAAUCCUCUGUAUAAUCCUAUCUCUGUCUUAACUACCUUUCCCGUCCCACUUCUCUCUCCGCUUCAAUUUUCGUCAGCACCAACAAAAAAAAAAUCAAUCAGCAAACGAUGAGUUACUACAAUCAGCAACAGCCUCCGGUUGGCGUUCCUCCUCCUCAAGGUUAUCCACCAGAAGGAUAUCCUCCAAAGGAUGCUUAUCCACCACCGGGUAUCCUCCGCAAGGAUACCCUCCUCAAUAUGCUCAGCCACCGCCUCAGAAAAAUCAGAGUUCCGGUUGCCUAGAAGGCUGUUUGGCUGCUCUUUGCUAUUGCUGUCUUCUGGAUGUUUGCUUUUGACCCAGCUUAGGAAAAUCUUGAAUUCCAAUAUUAUUUUUCCAGACUUCAUCUUUAUAUCUUCUUUUUAGUUAUUUUCUUUAAUAAUUGAACCACUGCUUAGAUUUCAACCUUAUGUUUUAUAGUAAUA
This is a long non-coding RNA of Hibiscus syriacus, 485 nucleotides long. RefSeq lists it as uncharacterized. The record is from RefSeq and is a predicted model, not a curated record. Lineage: Eukaryota; Viridiplantae; Streptophyta; Magnoliopsida; Malvales; Malvaceae. The transcript has 3 exons.